GACGAACGCUGGCGGCGUGCUUAACACAUGCAAGUCGAGCGGUAAGGCCCUUUCGGGGGUACGACGAGCGGCGAACGGGUGAGUAACACGUGGGUGACCUGCCCUUAGCUCUGGGAUAAGCCUGGGAAACUGGGUCUAAUACCGGAUAUGACUCCAUGACGCAUGUUGUGGGGUGGAAAGCCUUGUGCGGCUAGGGAUGGGCCCGCGGCCUAUCAGCUUGUUGGUGGGGUGAUGGCCACCAAGGCGACGACGGGUAGCCGGCCUGAGAGGGCGACCGGCCACACUGGGACUGAGACACGGCCCAGACUCCUACGGGAGGCAGCAGUGGGGAAUCUUGCGCAAUGGGCGAAAGCCUGACGCAGCGACGCCGCGUGGGGAUGACGGCC
This 386-nucleotide ribosomal RNA is filed under the name uncultured bacterium. Its description in RNAcentral is "bacterial SSU rRNA". It matches the Rfam family "Bacterial small subunit ribosomal RNA", at positions 28 to 416 of the family's 1533-position model. The record is from RNAcentral.